CAGCCUCCCAAAGUGCUGGGAUUACAAGCAUGAGCCACCGUGCCCGGCCUGUCCCCACUUUAUGAAGGAGGAAUCGAAGCCUCAGGAAGGCUAAGACACCUCCCAGAGUCACAGGUCUGACCAAAAAGAAAACUGACUCCAUCCACUUGGAUUCCCUCUGAGAAGUCUUCCCAACUGACCGAAAGAUGAGGCUAGGCUCUAGCAAGUCGACGUCAAACCGGCUCCUUCAAGAAGCUUUGAGCAGAAUGGAAGUGGGGAAGACGCAGCUUCCAGCCCGGACAGCCCGUUAUACCUGGAGCCAUCUGGGAUAGGAUUUUGACCCAUGGCUCUCAGAUUCUCAACCUGUCCAUCUGGGCCCAUCCCAGUUUAUCCUGUAUCAUUUGAGCUGGGAGUCCCACAUUCUCUGAGAUGGAAGUCCCAUCUCAAGUCUUCAAUAAAGACUCUUGAAUAUUGAAUCACA
This is a long non-coding RNA of Saimiri boliviensis boliviensis (Bolivian squirrel monkey), 460 nucleotides long. RefSeq lists it as uncharacterized. The record is from RefSeq and is a predicted model, not a curated record. Lineage: Eukaryota; Metazoa; Chordata; Mammalia; Primates; Cebidae.